CUCCUACGGGAGGCAGCAGUGGGGAAUAUUGCGCAAUGGGGGAAACCCUGACGCAGCAACGCCGCGUGAUUGAAGAAGGUCUUCGGAUUGUAAAAAUCUUUUAUCAAGGACGAAGAAGUGACGGUACUUGAUGAAUAAGCUCCGGCUAACUACGUGCCAGCAGCCGCGGUAAUACGUAGGGAGCAAGCGUUAUCCGGAUUUACUGGGUGUAAAGGGCGAGUAGGCGGAUUGGCAAGUUGGGAGUGAAAUGUCGGGGCUUAACCCCGGAACUGCUUCCAAAACUGUUGAUCUUGAGUGAUGGAGAGGCAGGCGGAAUUCCCAGUGUAGCGGUGAAAUGCGUAGAUAUUGGGAGGAACACCAGUGGCGAAGGCGGCCUGCUGGACAUUAACUGACGCUGAGGAGCGAAAGCGUGGGGAGCAAACAGGAUUAGAUACCCUGGUAGUCCACGCCGUAAACGAUGGAUACUAGGUGUGGGAGGUAUUGACCCCUUCCGUGCCGCAGUUAACACAUUAAGAUCCC
Molecule: ribosomal RNA, 519 nt
Filed under: uncultured bacterium
Lineage: Bacteria
Description: bacterial SSU rRNA
Rfam family: Bacterial small subunit ribosomal RNA
Source: RNAcentral